RNAcentral lists this ribosomal RNA (432 nucleotides) under uncultured bacterium. RNAcentral's name for it is "partial 16S ribosomal RNA". It matches the Rfam family "Bacterial small subunit ribosomal RNA", at positions 338 to 795 of the family's 1533-position model. The record is from RNAcentral.
CCUACGGGGGGCUGCAGUGGGGAAUCUUGCGCAAUGGGCGAAAGCCUGACGCAGCGACGCCGCGUGCGGGAUGAAGGCCUUCGGGUUGUAAACCGCUUUCAGCAGGGACGCGGUACCUGCAGAAGAAGCCCCGGCCAACUACGUGCCAGCAGCCGCGGUAAUACGUAGGGGGCGAGCGUUGUCCGGAUUUAUUGGGCGUAAAGAGCUCGUAGGCGGUUCGGUAAGUCGGAUGUGAAAUCUCCACGCUCAACGUGGAGGGGCCAUUCGAUACUGCCGGACUCGAGUCCGGUAGGGGAGUGUGGAAUUCCCGGUGUAGCGGUGAAAUGCGCAGAGAUCGGGAGGAACACCCGUAGCGAAGGCGGCACUCUGGGCCGGACUGACGCUGAGGAGCGAAAGCGUGGGGAGCGAACAGGAUUAGAUACCCUUGUAGUC